AUUGAACGCUGGCGGCAGGCCUAACACAUGCCAGUCGAGCGGAUGAAGGGAGCUUGCUCCUGGAUUCAGCGGCGGACGGGCGAGUAAUGCCUAGGAAUCUGCCUGGUAGUGGGGGAUAACGUCCGGAAACGGGCGCUAAUACCGCAUACGUCCUGAGGGAGAUAGUGGGGGAUCUUCGGACCUCACGCUAUCAGAUGAGCCUAGGUCGGAUUAGCUAGUUGGUGGGGUAAAGGCCUACCAAGGCGACGAUCCGUAACUGGUCUGAGAGGAUGAUCAGUCACACUGGAACUGAGACACGGUCCAGACUCCUACGGGAGGCAGCAGUGGGGAAUAUUGGACAAUGGGCGAAAGCCUGAUCCAGCCAUGCCGCGUGUGUGAAGAAGGUCUUCGGAUUGUAAAGCACUUUAAGUUGGGAGGAAGGGCAGUAAGUUAAUACCUUGCUGUUUUGACGUUACCAACAGAAUAAGCACCGGCUAACUUCGUG
RNAcentral lists this ribosomal RNA (484 nucleotides) under uncultured bacterium. RNAcentral describes it as "partial 16S ribosomal RNA". It matches the Rfam family "Bacterial small subunit ribosomal RNA", at positions 30 to 507 of the family's 1533-position model. The record is from RNAcentral.